This 1141-nucleotide ribosomal RNA is filed under the name Staphylococcus aureus. RNAcentral describes it as "bacterial SSU rRNA". It matches the Rfam family "Bacterial small subunit ribosomal RNA", at positions 1 to 1120 of the family's 1533-position model. Lineage: Bacteria; Bacillati; Bacillota; Bacilli; Caryophanales; Staphylococcaceae. The record is from RNAcentral.
UUUUAUGGAGAGUUUGAUCCUGGCUCAGGAUGAACGCUGGCGGCGUGCCUAAUACAUGCAAGUCGAGCGAACGGACGAGAAGCUUGCUUCUCUGAUGUUAGCGGCGGACGGGGGAGUAACACGUGGAUAACCUACCUAUAAGACUGGGAUAACUUCGGGAAACCGGAGCUAAUACCGGAUAAUAUUUUGAACCGCAUGGUUCAAAAGUGAAAGACGGUCUUGCUGUCACUUAUAGAUGGAUCCGCGCUGCAUUAGCUAGUUGGUAAGGUAACGGCUUACCAAGGCAACGAUGCAUAGCCGACCUGAGAGGGUGAUCGGCCACACUGGAACUGAGACACGGUCCAGACUCCUACGGGAGGCAGCAGUAGGGAAUCUUCCGCAAUGGGCGAAAGCCUGACGGAGCAACGCCGCGUGAGUGAUGAAGGUCUUCGGAUCGUAAAACUCUGUUAUUAGGGAAGAACAUAUGUGUAAGUAACUGUGCACAUCUUGACGGUACCUAAUCAGAAAGCCACGGCUAACUACGUGCCAGCAGCCGCGGUAAUACGUAGGUGGCAAGCGUUAUCCGGAAUUAUUGGGCGUAAAGCGCGCGUAGGCGGUUUUUUAAGUCUGAUGUGAAAGCCCACGGCUCAACCGUGGAGGGUCAUUGGAAACUGGAAAACUUGAGUGCAGAAGAGGAAAGUGGAAUUCCAUGUGUAGCGGUGAAAUGCGCAGAGAUAUGGAGGAACACCAGUGGCGAAGGCGACUUUCUGGUCUGUAACUGACGCUGAUGUGCGAAAGCGUGGGGAUCAAACAGGAUUAGAUACCCUGGUAGUCCACGCCGUAAACGAUGAGUGCUAAGUGUUAGGGGGUUUCCGCCCCUUAGUGCUGCAGCUAACGCAUUAAGCACUCCGCCUGGGGAGUACGACCGCAAGGUUGAAACUCAAAGGAAUUGACGGGGACCCGCACAAGCGGUGGAGCAUGUGGUUUAAUUCGAAGCAACGCGAAGAACCUUACCAAAUCUUGACAUCCUUUGACAACUCUAGAGAUAGAGCCUUCCCCUUCGGGGGACAAAGUGACAGGUGGUGCAUGGUUGUCGUCAGCUCGUGUCGUGAGAUGUUGGGUUAAGUCCCGCAACGAGCGCAACCCUUAAGCUUAGUUGCCA